This 76-nucleotide transfer RNA is filed under the name Candidatus Rifleibacteriota bacterium. RNAcentral's name for it is "tRNA-His". It matches the Rfam family "tRNA". Rfam says of the family: Transfer RNA (tRNA) molecules are approximately 80 nucleotides in length. Their secondary structure includes four short double-helical elements and three loops (D, anti-codon, and T loops). Lineage: Bacteria; Candidatus Rifleibacteriota. The record is from RNAcentral.
GUGGCGAUGGCCGAGCGGCUCCAGGCAGUGGACCGUGAAUCCACGAACGAGGGUUCGACUCCCUCUCGCCGCCCCA